GAUGAACGCUGGCGGCGUGCCUAAUACAUGCAAGUCGAACGGAGAGCUAGCAAUAGUUCUUAGUGGCGAACGGGUGAGUAACGCGUUGGUGACCUGCCCCGAAGAGAGGGAUAACAGUUCGAAAGGACUGCUAAUACCGCAUAAUAUCUACCGGGUUAGAGGCUGGUAGAUGAAAGGAGCAAUCCGCUUUGGGAGGGACCUGCGUCCCAUCAGCUAGUUGGUAGGGUAAAAGCCUACCAAGGCGACGACGGGUAGGGGACCUGAGAGGGUGAUCCCCCACACUGGCACUGAAACACGGGCCAGACACCUACGGGUGGCUG
This 320-nucleotide ribosomal RNA is filed under the name uncultured Chloroflexota bacterium. RNAcentral's name for it is "bacterial SSU rRNA". It matches the Rfam family "Bacterial small subunit ribosomal RNA", at positions 28 to 351 of the family's 1533-position model. The record is from RNAcentral. Lineage: Bacteria; Bacillati; Chloroflexota.